CUACGUGCCAGCAGCCGCGGUAAUACGUAGGUGGCAAGCGUUGUCCGGAUUUAUUGGGCGUAAAGCGAGCGCAGGCGGUUCCUUAAGUCUGAUGUGAAAGCCCCCGGCUCAACCGGGGAGGGUCAUUGGAAACUGGGGAACUUGAGUGCAGAAGAGGAGAGUGGAAUUCCAUGUGUAGCGGUGAAAUGCGUAGAUAUAUGGAGGAACACCAGUGGCGAAGGCGACUCUCUGGUCUGUAACUGACGCUGAGGCUCGAAAGCGUGGGUAGCAAACAGGAUUAGAUACCCUGGUAGUCCACGCCGUAAACGAUGAGUGCUAAGUGUUGGAGGGUUUCCGCCCUUCAGUGCUGCAGUUAACGCAUUAAGCACUCCGCCUGGGGAGUACGACCGCAAGGUUGAAACUCAAAGGAAUUGACGGGGGCCCGCACAAGCGGUGGAGCAUGUGGUUUAAUUCGAAGCAACGCGAAGAACCUUACCAGGUCUUGACAUCCCUCUGACCGCUCUAGAGAUAGAGUUUUC
Molecule: ribosomal RNA, 518 nt
Filed under: uncultured bacterium
Lineage: Bacteria
Description: bacterial SSU rRNA
Rfam family: Bacterial small subunit ribosomal RNA
Source: RNAcentral